This 373-nucleotide ribosomal RNA is filed under the name uncultured organism. RNAcentral's name for it is "partial 16S ribosomal RNA". It matches the Rfam family "Bacterial small subunit ribosomal RNA", at positions 527 to 896 of the family's 1533-position model. The record is from RNAcentral.
GUAGGUGGCAAGCGUUGUCCGGAAUUAUUGGGCGUAAAGCGCGCGCAGGCGGUCCUUUAAGUCUGAUGUGAAAGCCCACGGCUCAACCGUGGAGGGUCAUUGGAAACUGGGGGACUUGAGUACAGAAGAGGAAAGCGGAAUUCCAAGUGUAGCGGUGAAAUGCGUAGAGAUUUGGAGGAACACCAGUGGCGAAGGCGGCUUUCUGGUCUGUAACUGACGCUGAGGCGCGAAAGCGUGGGGAGCAAACAGGGAUUAGAUACCCUGGUAGUCCACGCCGUAAACGAUGAGUGCUAAGUGUUAGGGGGUUUCCCGCCCCUUAGUGCUGCAGCUAACGCAUUAAGCACUCCGCCUGGGGGGUACGGCCGCAAGGCUG